This 491-nucleotide ribosomal RNA is filed under the name uncultured bacterium. RNAcentral describes it as "partial 16S ribosomal RNA". It matches the Rfam family "Bacterial small subunit ribosomal RNA", at positions 29 to 506 of the family's 1533-position model. The record is from RNAcentral.
AGUGAACGCUGGCGGUAGGCCUAACACAUGCAAGUCGAACGGCAGCACAGUAAGAGCUUGCUCUUACGGGUGGCGAGUGGCGGACGGGUGAGGAAUACAUCGGAAUCUACUUUUUCGUGGGGGAUAACGUAGGGAAACUUACGCUAAUACCGCAUACGACCUACGGGUGAAAGCAGGGGAUCUUCGGACCUUGCGCGAUUGAAUGAGCCGAUGUCGGAUUAGCUAGUUGGCGGGGUAAAGGCCCACCAAGGCGACGAUCCGUAGCUGGUCUGAGAGGAUGACCAGCCACACUGGAACUGAGACACGGGCCAGACUCCUACGGGAGGAAGAAGUGGGGAAUAUUGGACAAGGGGCGCAAGCCUGAGCCAGCCAUACCGCGUGGGUGAAGAAGGCCUUCGGGUGGUAAAGCCCUUUUGUUGGGAAAGAAAAGCAGCAGGUUAAUACCCCGCUGUUCUGACGGUACCCAAAGAAUAAGCACCGGCUAACUUCGU